Molecule: long non-coding RNA, 906 nt
Organism: Eucalyptus grandis
Lineage: Eukaryota; Viridiplantae; Streptophyta; Magnoliopsida; Myrtales; Myrtaceae
Exons: 2
Source: RefSeq, a predicted model, not a curated record
CACUAAAGCGAACCCAUUUACUCUCCCUCUUCGACGUCUUCGUUUUCUCGCUUUCCCUCAUCCAUCGUACGACGUACUGCAAGUCGCGACUCAGAGGCCGAGAGCUCGCCGGCGAAUUCCUGUCUUUUUCCGAGCACUCCUUCUCCUUCCGCCAUCAGUCGCCGCAGCCACUGCCGUCAUCGCCGUCUUUGCCGUCCGCGGAAAGCGAUUGCGCUUUGAUUGGGCGAAUCUGCAGUCUUUUUUAGAUCUCCGUCGCUCUCGUCCGGCGCAGUUCAGUCGCAAACCUAAGCCGUUUUCGUAACAGCCGGGACGAGGAAGAGGCAGAGGCAGAUACCAAUCCGAGGGCCUAAGGGGACGCCUGGGUGGUCAGAGUUUGGGCAGGGGAAGCAACCUGGAUAAUGACUACAGCCGUCCGAGGGGCAAUGGCUCCUACUUCCGUGGUUCGCAAUGAGUUAUUCGUUCGACCUUUUCAAACCGUUAUAGCUAUGGCCAAAGGCUCGUUAGGUUGCUAUGGGUGAUUCCAUGUACGAUGGUUUCCUGAAGUCGUGGUCUGUGCUUCUUGAGGUGUGUUUCUUCCUUUUUGGCAUGAUUAGAUUGUUAGGACCCAAGGACACCAAAGGCGUUUGGUGGAUCAAGUCCAUUCUAGGAAGAUAGGGGGAACUCGAUUUCACAUCCAGCUUGAUGAAGAUGAUGCAGCAAAGGCUUCAUGGAGUUCUGAGUACAUAUGAGUUUUCAUAAAUAAUCAGCAUAUGCUGUACCCCUGUUUUAAGUUAGAUUGAAAUCUUUUAGUCUCGAGACUACCAUGCGUUUGUUUUGUUUGAUGUAUAUUUUGCUUAUGUUGUGUGCGGAUAUUGUAUCAAUGAUGAGAGAUUGGCAAUGAAUAGGAGCUGUUCAAUUAUGAGAUCA